RNAcentral lists this ribosomal RNA (405 nucleotides) under uncultured bacterium. Its description in RNAcentral is "partial 16S ribosomal RNA". It matches the Rfam family "Bacterial small subunit ribosomal RNA", at positions 30 to 526 of the family's 1533-position model. The record is from RNAcentral.
CUUGACGCUGGCGGCAGGCCUAACACAUGCAAGUCGAACGAGUGGCGGACGGGUGAGUAAUGUCUGGGAAACUGCCUGAUGGAGGGGGAUAACGUCUGGAAACGGUCGCUAAUACCGCAUACUAUCAGAUGAGCCCAGGUGGGAUUAGCUAGUUGGUGGGGUAACGGCCUACCAAGGCGACGAUCCGUAACUGGUCUGAGAGGAUGAUCAGACACACUGGAACUGAGACACGGUCCAGACGCCUACGGGAGGCAGCAGUGGGGAAUAUUGGACAAUGGGCGAAAGCCUGAUCCAGCCAUGCCGCGUGUAUGAAGAAGGCCUUCGGGUUGUAAAGUACUUUCAGCGGGGAGGCGUUACCCGCAGAAGAAGCACCGGCUAACUCCGUGCCAGCAGCCGCGGUAAUAC